RNAcentral lists this small RNA (77 nucleotides) under Pseudomonas [fluorescens] SBW25. RNAcentral describes it as "Pseudomonas fluorescens SBW25 Pseudomonas sRNA P9". It matches the Rfam family "Pseudomonas sRNA P9". From Rfam's summary of the family: P9 appears to be conserved in several Pseudomonas species in addition to Bordetella spp. In both Pseudomonas and Bordetella spp P9 appears to be located upstream of a predicted threonine dehydratase gene. P9 has a predicted Rho independent terminator at the 3' end but the function of P9 is unknown. Lineage: Bacteria; Pseudomonadati; Pseudomonadota; Gammaproteobacteria; Pseudomonadales; Pseudomonadaceae. The record is from Rfam by way of RNAcentral.
AGCAUUAUUACCGCCAUUCCUCAUUUGGCGGGAUAGCGCACGGCUGUACCCAAACACCCGCCCUAGAGGCGGGUUUU